GCUGUGACGUUAGCGACAGAAGAAGGACCGGCUAACUCCGUGCCAGCAGCCGCGGUAAUACGGAGGGUCCGAGCGUUAAUCGGAAUUACUGGGCGUAAAGCGCGCGUAGGUUGAUUGGUCAGUCAGAUGUGAAAGCCCAGGGCUCAACCUUGGAACUGCAUCUGAUACUGCCAGUCUAGAAUACAGUAGAGGGUAGUGGAAUUUCCUGUGUAGCGGUGAAAUGCGUAGAUAUAGGAAGGAACACCAGUGGCGAAGGCGACUACCUGGACUGAUAUUGACACUGAGGUGCGAAAGCGUGGGGAGCAAACAGGAUUAGAUACCCUGGUAGUCCACGCCGUAAACGAUGUCUACUAGCCGUUGGGAGACUUGAUCUCUUAGUGGCGAAGCUAACGCGAUAAGUAGACCGCCUGGGGAGUACGGCCGCAAGGUUAAAACUCAAAUGAAUUGACGGGGGCCCGCACAAGCGGUGGAGCAUGUGGUUUAAUUCGACGCAACGCGAAGAACCUUACCAACUCUUGACAUCCAGAGAAGUUACUAGAGAUAGUUUCGUGCCUUCGGGAACUCUGAGACAGGUGCUGCAUGGCUGUCGUCAGCUCGUGUUGUGAAAUGUUGGGUUAAGUCCCGUAACGAGCGCAACCCUUGUCCUUAUUUGCCAGCACGUAAUGGUGGGA
RNAcentral lists this ribosomal RNA (671 nucleotides) under uncultured Oceanospirillales bacterium. RNAcentral describes it as "bacterial SSU rRNA". It matches the Rfam family "Bacterial small subunit ribosomal RNA", at positions 466 to 1136 of the family's 1533-position model. Lineage: Bacteria; Pseudomonadati; Pseudomonadota; Gammaproteobacteria; Oceanospirillales. The record is from RNAcentral.